RNAcentral lists this unclassified non-coding RNA (405 nucleotides) under soil metagenome. Its description in RNAcentral is "partial contains 5.8S ribosomal RNA, internal transcribed spacer 2, and large subunit ribosomal RNA". The stretch from base 1 to 121 matches the Rfam family "5.8S ribosomal RNA", at positions 35 to 154 of the family's 154-position model. The record is from RNAcentral.
GAUGAAGAACGUAGUGAAAUGCGAUAAGUAAUGUGAAUUGCAGAAUUCAGUGAAUCAUCGAAUCUUUGAACGCACCUUGCGCCCUUUGGCCAUUCCGAAGGGCAUGCCUGUUUGAGUAUCAUGAACACCUCAACUCUUCAUGGUUUUCCAUGAUGAGCUUGGACUUUGGGGGUCUUGCUGGCCUGUGGGUCGGCUCCUCUCAAAUGAAUCAGCUUGCCGGUUUUUGGUGGGCAUCACAGGUGUGAUAACUAUCUACGCUUGUGGUUUUCCACCAGGGUAACCUUCAGCAGUGGAGGUUCACUGGAGCUUACAAAUGUCUCUCCUCUGUGAGGACAGCCCUUUGAAUGUUUGAUCUCAAAUCAGGUAGGACUACCCGCUGAACUUAAGCAUAUCAAUAACGGAGGA